AGAGUCCAAACACAGUUUAUAUAGGGGAAUGGUAAUGGGGAACACCUGGUGGUGAUUAGACCUAAGCACAGGAUUAUGGGAAAUGGAGUUGGGAAUGGAAAUGGACACCAAAUGCAAGAGUCCUGAGUGGAGUGCCCUCUGCUGGAGUUAAUGGGCACUCCAGCUGAUGAUCAUGACACAAACAAAAAAAAAAUAAUAAUAAUUUAAAGUGAAACAUAAGGUAAGGUUGGGCUUACCUCUCUCAUUUGGGAUAAAUCCAAACGUUUCCAUAUUUGUGAUUUUGCCCAUUUGAAGCUAAACUAUUAUUCACUAGGUAAAAUAGGCUUUGUAGUUCACGCAUGUUCAGUAUCAAUGGAAAAAAAACAGAAUGAGCAAAAAUAUGCCAAAGUGGACCGCUGCUCGCGCCGCAUGGCUGGUGAACGACUGCUGUUUCUAAUGAAUAUGUGCGCGUGAGGCACCGGCGAUCAAAGUCACAAUUCACAAUUUUUGGUCACACAUUAAAGGCAUAAUUCAAAAAUGCAAAGUGUUAGCAGUUUGAAAAAACAAGAAUAAUAACAGAGUUAAUAAGAAUUAUUUGUAAAUGCUGCACCGUUCUCAUCUCGCUCUGCAAAUGGAACCUGAAGAUCAUUAUUAUUUUUUUUAACCAAGAAUGAACCGAAAUUAAAACAUUUACUAAUUAUAACGUAAAUGUAACAUUUACUAAUACAAAAUACAAAACAUUUACUAAUAUAAAACUUUUAAUCCGUAUAUAAGGUCUUUCUUUAAAUUUUUGAUGAGUAGACUGUAGCCUAAGACUAUCCUAUUUUUUUAAUGGCUUUUAAGGAUGUUAUAAUGUAUAUUAUAAUGUAAUUGUUGUUUUACGUCUUCCUUUCAUUUUACAAUUACAUUCAUUUCGCAAUCCGUCCCUUUGCGCCACCUGGCGGUAGUUUCGCGAAUGAUUUUAACACGCGGCUGACUUGCAGUUAACGCCGCGGCCCUGCGGCGGCGGUACGCGCAGCGGUAUUACCCAUUUUGGAUGUCUACCUACUGUAAGUUACAUUUUCCUGCAAAACACAAAACGAAACAAAAACUAACAAACACUCAUACAAAGUUACAUCUCCUGUAAUAAAUUACCAUUAUUAUUGUUGUUAAUGUAGUAGUUAAAUGGCUUCCAUAUUUCUUCAUAUACACCCAUUUUGUUUUUAAUAAAAUAUGUUAUUUUUUCCAUGGCCAUACACUGCAUCAUGGCAUUAAUCCAGGCUCCAAUAACUGGCGGGUCAGGCCUUUUCCAGCUUAGAGCUAUCAUUAUUUUAGCUUGUAAUAUAGCAUAAUCUAUAAAUUUACUCUGCUAAGGAUUUAGUUUAAGGUUCUUUGGAUAUAAAUGUAACAGAAUCUUUUUUGCAUCUAGAGGAAUAUUCAAGGAUAAAAUUAUAUUUGUAAUAUUAAUCACUUCCACCCACUCUCUAAUAAUAUUGCAUUCCCAAACACAGUUCACAAAUGAUCCUUGAACCUAUCUGCAUUUAAAGAAUGUAACAGGAAUAUUUUUAUUAAACCUAUUUAGUUUGACAGGAGUUAUGUAAGUCUGCAUCAACCAAUUAUAUUGAAGUAGUUUUAGGCUAACGCUACCUAACUGUUUCUGAGAGUUUUUACAGACUUGUCUCCAUUCAUCCUCAGAUAUAUCCUCAUUCAAUCCCACCUUCCAUAAUUCAAGUUUCGUGGUUGAUGAUUCAGUAGACC
This is a long non-coding RNA of Cyprinus carpio carpio, 1716 nucleotides long. Lineage: Eukaryota; Metazoa; Chordata; Actinopteri; Cypriniformes; Cyprinidae. The record is from Ensembl.